ACGCACGCUGGCGGCGUGCCUAAUCCAUGCAAGUCGAGCGAAGUUUUUCUGGUGCUUGCACCGGAAAAACUUAGCGGCGAACGGGUGAGUAACACGUAAAGAACCCGCCUCAUAGACUGGGACAACUAUUGGAAACGAUAGCUAAUACCGGAUAAUAGCAUUAACUGCAUGGUUGAUGUUUAAAAGUUGGUUUUGCUAACACUAUGAGAUGGCUUUGCGGUGCAUUAGCUAGUUGGUGGGGUAAAGGCCUACCAAGGCGACGAUGCAUAGCCGACCUGAGAGGGUGAUCGGCCACACUGGGACUGAGACACGGCCCAGACUCCUACGGGAGGCAGCAGUAGGGAAUCUUCCGCAAUGGGCGAAAGCCUGACGGAGCAACGCCGCGUGAGUGAAGAAGGAUUUCGGUUCGUAAAGCUCUGUUGUUAGGGAAGAAUGAUUGUGUAGUAACUAUACACAGUAGAGACGGUACCUAACCAGAAAGCCACGGCUAACUACGUG
This 498-nucleotide ribosomal RNA is filed under the name uncultured bacterium. RNAcentral describes it as "partial 16S ribosomal RNA". It matches the Rfam family "Bacterial small subunit ribosomal RNA", at positions 29 to 507 of the family's 1533-position model. The record is from RNAcentral.